Molecule: ribosomal RNA, 643 nt
Filed under: uncultured bacterium
Lineage: Bacteria
Description: bacterial SSU rRNA
Rfam family: Bacterial small subunit ribosomal RNA
Source: RNAcentral
UCGAGCGAUGAAACCCUUCGGGGUGGAUUAGCGGCGGACGGGUGAGUAACACGUGGGUAACCUGCCUCAAAGAGGGGAAUAGCCUCCCGAAAGGGAGAUUAAUACCGCAUAAUAUGUUUUGGUCGCAUGACCGAGACAUCAAAGGAGUAAUCCGCUUUGAGAUGGACCCGCGGCGCAUUAGCUAGUUGGUGAGGUAACGGCUCACCAAGGCGACGAUGCGUAGCCGACCUGAGAGGGUGAUCGGCCACAUUGGAACUGAGACACGGUCCAGACUCCUACGGGAGGCAGCAGUGGGGAAUAUUGCGCAAUGGGGGAAACCCUGACGCAGCAACGCCGCGUGAAUGAUGAAGGCCUUCGGGUUGUAAAGUUCUGUCUUCUGGGACGAUAAUGACGGUACCAGAGGAGGAAGCCACGGCUAACUACGUGCCAGCAGCCGCGGUAAUACGUAGGUGGCAAGCGUUGUCCGGAUUUACUGGGCGUAAAGGAUGCGUAGGCGGACAUUUAAGUCAGAUGUGAAAUACCCGAGCUUAACUUGGGUGCUGCAUUUGAAACUGGGUGUCUAGAGUGCAGGAGAGGUAAGUGGAAUUCCUAGUGUAGCGGUGAAAUGCGUAGAGAUUAGGAAGAACACCAGUGGCGAAGGCGA